GGAGUUAGCCGGUGCUUCUUCUGUGAGUGAUGUCCUUCCUGCCGGCUAUUAACCCGCAGGCCUUCUUCCUCACUGAAAGUGCUUUACAACCCGAAGGCCUUCUUCACACACGCGGCAUGGCUGGAUCAGGGUUGCCCCCAUUGUCCAAUAUUCCCCACUGCUGCCUCCCGUAGGAGUCUGGGCCGUGUCUCAGUCCCAGUGUGGCUGAUCAUCCUCUCAGACCAGCUACGGAUCGUCGCCUUGGUGAGCCGUUACCUCACCAACCAGCUAAUCCGACAUAGGCUCAUCCGAUAGCGCGAGGCCCGAAGGUCCCCCGCUUUCCCCCGUAGGGCGUAUGCGGUAUUAGCCUGGGUUUCCCCAGGUUAUCCCCCACUACCGGGCAGAUUCCUAUGCCAUUACUCACCCGUCCGCCGCUCGCCACCAGGGAGCAAGCUCCCCGUGCUGCCGCUCGACUUGCAUGUGUUAGGCCUGCCGCCAGCGUUCAAUCUGAGCCAGAAUCAAACUCUGA
RNAcentral lists this ribosomal RNA (508 nucleotides) under uncultured bacterium. RNAcentral describes it as "partial 16S ribosomal RNA". The record is from RNAcentral.